GGCUGAGCAAAAUACUUCAUCUUUGGUCGUGUUUGAGCCCCAGAGUUUGGGAUUUGUAAGCAGUGCCUUGGGGCUAUAUUUGCGUUUCCUGGAUGCCUUUUCUUUUUUUCUUUCUUUCUUUCUUUUUUUUUUUCUGUGAAUCUUGUUGGCAUUUGGAAAGAAAGAAUUUCAGCAACAUUCCAGUGGAUCCCACGGCCUGCCUCCUCGUUCCUGGGACUCCCUGUACCACCGGCACCCCAAGAUGAAGAAGGUUUUGGAGGACAAAGCCUCAAAGCCCAGGUCAGGCCCUGUGGUCAUCUGUCCACGCAUGUCAUUUUGGAGAAACACAUUUAUGUAAAGGCUCCAAUUUCUGUUGCUUCUUUUCUGGCUACUUUUGGUCAGACUGAGACCCGGUGACCAUUCCUUUCCAAGGGCGUGACACUGCUCCGUGCACCGGUGGUGUGGCCCACAACCAAGGUCCUGGACCCCCACUCAAAGGCCCAGAGUCUCAAGGAAUCUCAUGCCCUGGGCUCCUCCCUCCCUCUUCCCUUUUGCAUUCCUUAGGGGCACUCAUGUCCUGUCCGGGUUUUCCAGGACACAUGGCUAAACCCCAUCCAACCAUUAUUUGUCCUUUAUAAACAAAUCUAGUGGUGAGAUUGUCUUCCAGAUCAUUCCAGCUUCUAUCCUCCUGCAAUCUCUUCCUCUUUCUCUCUCCCCACAGUCCAGACAAGCAAGCACAGAACUGAACUUACUAGAAGGGGGAAAGGAAAGUGAAUACAUAGGGAGAAACUCAGGCAUUAAAAUCGCAGAAAAUGGUCCUACAUGCUAUUGGUCAUGUC
RNAcentral lists this long non-coding RNA (818 nucleotides) under Mustela putorius furo (domestic ferret). RNAcentral's name for it is "lncRNA (ENSMPUG00000027728.1)". The record is from RNAcentral. Lineage: Eukaryota; Metazoa; Chordata; Mammalia; Carnivora; Mustelidae.